This 253-nucleotide ribosomal RNA is filed under the name uncultured bacterium. Its description in RNAcentral is "partial 16S ribosomal RNA". It matches the Rfam family "Bacterial small subunit ribosomal RNA", at positions 524 to 776 of the family's 1533-position model. The record is from RNAcentral.
UACGUAGGGUGCAAGCGUUAAUCGGAAUUACUGGGCGUAAAGCGUGCGCAGGCGGUUUUGUAAGUCUGUCGUGAAAUCCCCGGGCUUAACCUGGGAAUGGCGAUGGAGACUGCAAGGCUAGAAUCUGGCAGAGGGGGGUAGAAUUCCACGUGUAGCAGUGAAAUGCGUAGAGAUGUGGAGGAACACCGAUGGCGAAGGCAGCCCCCUGGGUCAAGAUUGACGCUCAUGCGCGACAGCGUGGGGAGCAAACAGG